RNAcentral lists this ribosomal RNA (912 nucleotides) under Winthemia venusta. RNAcentral describes it as "partial 16S rRNA". Lineage: Eukaryota; Metazoa; Arthropoda; Insecta; Diptera; Tachinidae. The record is from RNAcentral.
CAAUAUUAUUUUAAAUAAUAUAUUAGAAAUGAAAUGUUAUUCGUUUUUAAAGGUAUCUAGUUCUUUAAGAAAUAAAUUUAAUUUAAAAAUUUUAUAUUAAUUAAUUAAAUAUAUUAAUUAAUUAAUUAUUUAAUUUUAAUAUUUUAUGGGAUAAGCUAUAAAGUAAAUUUUUAAAAAUUAUUAAAUAAAUUAUUAAAUAUAAAUUUAAAAAUAGUUAUUAUUAAUAAAAAUGUUAUAAUUUAUUUUAUAAAUCAAAUUAUUUAUUAAAAUUUUAAAUAUUUAUUAAAGUAUUUAUUUAAAUUAUAUAAAUAAAAAAAUAAUGAUAAAAUUAGUAUAAUAUAUUGUAAAAGUAAAUAAAAAUGAAAAGUUAUUUUAAAGAAUUCGGCAAAAUUAAUAUUCGCCUGUUUAACAAAAACAUGUCUUUUUUUAUUUAAUAAAAAGUCUGACCUGCCCACUGAAUUAUUUUAAAUGGCCGCAGUAUAUUAACUGUGCAAAGGUAGCAUAAUCAUUAGUCUUUUAAUUGAAGGCUUGUAUGAAUGGUUUGACGAAAUAUUGACUGUUUCAUAUUAAUUUAUAUUAAAAUUUUAUUUUUUAGUUAAAAAGCUAAAAUUAAUUUAAAAGACGAGAAGACCCUAUAAAUCUUUAUAUUUAAUUCAUUAAUAUUUUUUUGAAUUUUUUUAUUAUAAUGAAUAAUUAAUAUUUUAUUGGGGUGAUAUUAAAAUUUAAAAAACUUUUAAUUAAUUUUACAUUAAUUUAUGAAUUAUUGAUCCAUUAUUAGUGAUUAAAAAUUUAAGUUACUUUAGGGAUAACAGCGUAAUUUUUUUGGAGAGUUCUUAUCAAUAAAAAAGAUUGCGACCUCGAUGUUGGAUUAAGAUAUAAUUUUAGGUGUAGCUGCUUAAAUUUUAAGUCUGU